AGUUUGAUCAUGGCUCAGAUUGAACGCUGGCGGCAUGCCUUACACAUGCAAGUCGAACGGCAGCACGGGAGCUUGCUCCUGGUGGCGAGUGGCGAACGGGUGAGUAAUACAUCGGAACGUACCCUGAAGUGGGGGAUAACGUAGCGAAAGUUACGCUAAUACCGCAUAUUCUGUGAGCAGGAAAGAGGGGGAUCGCAAGACCUCUUGCUUUAGGAGCGGCCGAUGUCGGAUUAGCUAGUUGGUGAGGUAAAGGCUCACCAAGGCGACGAUCCGUAGCGGGUCUGAGAGGAUGAUCCGCCACACUGGGACUGAGACACGGCCCAGACUCCUACGGGAGGCAGCAGUGGGGAAUUUUGGACAAUGGGCGCAAGCCUGAUCCAGCCAUGCCGCGUGAGUGAAGAAGGCCUUCGGGUUGUAAAGCUUCUUUCGGUGGGGAAGAAAUUGCUUCGGUUAAUACCUGGAGUAGAUGACGGUACCCGCAUAAGGAGCACCGGCUAACUACGUG
Molecule: ribosomal RNA, 505 nt
Filed under: uncultured bacterium
Lineage: Bacteria
Description: bacterial SSU rRNA
Rfam family: Bacterial small subunit ribosomal RNA
Source: RNAcentral